RNAcentral lists this ribosomal RNA (477 nucleotides) under Triticum aestivum (bread wheat). Its description in RNAcentral is "partial small subunit ribosomal RNA". Lineage: Eukaryota; Viridiplantae; Streptophyta; Magnoliopsida; Poales; Poaceae. The record is from RNAcentral.
AUGGGACACUCUGGCAUGAAGAAGACGGAGGAUAUACUUGCUACACAUUUCUUUUGGCCAAAGAUGAGACGGGAUGUUGAGCGUUUUGUUGCUCGUUACACUACAUGUCAAAAAGGUAAGUCACGACUCAAUCCUCAUGGUUUAUAUAUGCCUUUGCCUGUACCUAGUGUUUCUUGGGAGGAUAUAUCUAUGGACUUUGUUUUAGGUUUACCUCGAACAAAGAAGGGGAGGGAUAGCGUAUUUGUUGUCGUGGAUAGGUUCUCAAAAAUGGCACACUUUAUACCUUGUCAUAAAAGCGAUGAUGCUGUUAAUGUUGCUGAUUUGUUCUUUCGUGAAAUUAUUCGCUUGCAUGGUGUGCCAAAUACUAUUGUUUCAGAUCAUGAUACUAAAUUUCUUAGACACUUUUGGAGAUGUUUAUGCGCUAAGUUGGGGACUAAACUGCUUUUUAGUACUACAUGUCACCCCCAAACUGAUGGA